RNAcentral lists this ribosomal RNA (253 nucleotides) under uncultured bacterium. RNAcentral's name for it is "partial 16S ribosomal RNA". It matches the Rfam family "Bacterial small subunit ribosomal RNA", at positions 524 to 776 of the family's 1533-position model. The record is from RNAcentral.
UACGUAGGGGGCGAGCGUUGUCCGGAAUUAUUGGGCGUAAAGAGCUCGUAGGCGGUUUGUCGCGUCGAAUGUGAAAACCCGGGGCUCAACCCCGGGCCUGCAUUCGAUACGGGCAGACUAGAGUUCGGUAGGGGAGUCUGGAAUUCCUGGUGUAGCGGUGAAAUGCGCAGAUAUCAGGAGGAACACCGGUGGCGAAGGCGGGUCUCUGGGCCGAAACUGACGCUGAGGAGCGAAAGCGUGGGGAGCGAACAGG